UACAGAGGUCCCAAGCGUUGUUCGGAUUCACUGGGCGUAAAGGGUGCGUAGGCGGUCGGGUAAGUCUGAUGUGAAAUCUCACAGCUUAACUGUGAAACUGCAUUGGAUACUAUCCGACUCGAGGAAUGGAGGGGAGACUGGAAUUCUCGGUGUAGCAGUGAAAUGCGUAGAUAUCGAGAGGAACACCAGUGGCGAAGGCGAGUCUCUGGACAUUUCCUGACGCUGAGGCACGAAAGCCAGGGGAGCAAACGGG
Molecule: ribosomal RNA, 253 nt
Filed under: uncultured bacterium
Lineage: Bacteria
Description: partial 16S ribosomal RNA
Rfam family: Bacterial small subunit ribosomal RNA
Source: RNAcentral